Molecule: long non-coding RNA, 3113 nt
Filed under: Ornithorhynchus anatinus (platypus)
Lineage: Eukaryota; Metazoa; Chordata; Mammalia; Monotremata; Ornithorhynchidae
Description: lncRNA (ENSOANG00000040122.1)
Source: RNAcentral
GCAGAUCGCACUUUCUUAGCAGCAAAUUCCCUGAGCAGGUGGACACACCCAUGAAGCCAGGCUGUGGUGUGCAGAUUAGCGGUUCGACUCCUCCUCUAGAACGCCGGAUUCGCCCCCGGCUGUGGCUCUGACAACCCCGAGAUGACCCAGCUACAGCGGAGCAGUGACGUAUGCCCCCGUUAGCUGUGUGAGCGGCAAGCAUGAAGCAGUGUGGCCUAUUGAAAGGAGCACGGGCCUAUUAGCCAGACGACCUGAGUUCUAAUCCCGGCUGUAUUCCCUUGUCUGCUGUAACCUCAGGCAAGUCUCUUCUCUGGGCCUCCGUUCCCUUGUUCUUCCCUACUUAGACUGUGAGCCCCAUGUGGGACAGGGACCUUGUCCAACCUAAUUAUUCAUUCAUCCAAUAGUAUUUAUUGAGCGCUUACUAUGUGCAGAGCACUGUAUGAAGCGCUUGGAAUGAACAAGUCGGCAAGGGAUAGAGACAGUCCCUGCCGUUUGACGGGCUUACAGUCUAAUCGGGGGAGACGGACAGACAAGAACAUGGCAAUAAAUAGAGUCAAGGGGACCUACCCCAGCGCUUAGAAUGUGUUACACAUAGUAAGCGCUCAACAGAUACCAUAAAAAAAAAUACCAAGUGUUGUGGAAACCAGGGACCAGGUCUGAACGCCCUAAAGGACGGGUGUCGUAGCCACCGGCGGGCAGUGGAUACUGGAACAGCUGAGCUGGGACAGCCAACAAGAUCCCCGGCAGAGAGGGGCCGGGCGGGCGGGCAUCCAGAACAGAGGCCGUCGCGCCGAGCGGCACCUGAAAGCCGAGCUCUGGGUAGAACAGGUGGGCAGGCCGCCCGCGACCCCGGGGGAAGCUGGACCGGAUCCGCGCAAUGGGACGUCAGGUUGAAGAAGAAAAGGCAGACGAGGCAGACGGCAGAGACGACGUCGGCCGGUCCCCGGGGGCCCUCGGCCGGCAGGACUCCGCCCGCCAAGGGCGACAACCGCGGCGGCCCGAUGGCCGAGGAGGCCGACCUCACCGACGAGGACGGGAAGAAGAGGAAGAACAGCCAGCUGAAAGACAGCCGCCGGACGGAGCUCAAGAGAUACUAUAACACCGGUCAGUAGGGCUGCACCUGGGACACUCGUUCGGUCGUAUUUAUGGAGCGCUUACCAUGUGCGGAGCACUGGACCGAGCGCCUGGGAGAGUACCGUACAGCAAUAAACAGACACGAGGCGGGACCUUCCGAACGGUCUCUGCAGUCCCACUCGGAGGGUCCGGCUCGGACCGGCUGAGCCGGGGGGUGUGGGAGGAAUCGAUCGAUCGAUCGAUCAGUGGUAUUUGGAGCGCUUUCUGUGUGCAGGUCACUCCAGACCGUAACCUCGCUGUGGGCAGGGAAUGUGUCUGUUAAUUGUUGUAUUGUGCUCUCCCAAGUGCUUAAUACAGUGCUCUGCACACAGUAAACACUCAAUAAAUACGACUGGCUGACUGAUACGGUAUAACAGAGUGAGGCGGAAGGUUUGAACUGUGGACUUGUGGAGGAACUCGAGUUUGCAUCUAUGAUGGGUGUGCUAGUUUAUGUUGGCAGAAGUACUCAUGUUUCUCUUUAACCUUUUGUGGCAUGGUGACUCCUGUUUUGGUGGUGGCCCAGAUGGGGAAAGGUUCUGUAGCCUGUGCUGGUCAAAGAAACGCCAUGGCUGGUCAGUACAUUCAGUGUGGUUUGUGUGCGUGGCUCUCUGGAUGGUUCUGGAGAGGUACCAGAGGCCGGGAUAGCCUAGUGGAAAGAGAACAGGCCUGGGAGUCAAAGGAUCUGGGUUCUCAAUCCGGCUCCACCAUUUGUCUGCUGUGUGACCUUGGGUGAAUCACUUAACCUCUCUGUGCUUUUGUUACUUCAUCUGUAAAAUGGGGAUUAAGAUUAUGAGCCCCUUGUGGGACAGGGACUGUGUCCAACCUGAUUAGCUUGUGUGUACUCCAGUGCUUAGUACAGUUCCUGAUACAUAGUAACUGCUUAAAUACCGUUAAAAAGAAAUGGAGCCUAGGAGCUAGCCUGCUUCUAGACCAGGUUGGUCUGAUCUAGCUGGUAAAGAGUGCUGACUUUUUUGGUCCUUUGAAUCUCCAGGCAAGGGUGGUAAUAAUUAAUUGUGGUAUUUGUUCAUUCUUACUACGAUGUGCCAAGCACUGUAGAAGAUGCAAGAUAUUCAGGUUGGAUACAAGGGACUCAUAGUCUAAGCAGAGGGAGUAGGAUUUAUUCCCCAUUUUUCACAGGAGAGGAAACUGAGUCACAGAAAAAUGAAGUGACUUGCCCAAGAUCACAGAGCAGACAAGUGGCAGAGCUGGAAUUAGAAUCCAGCUCUUCUGACUCCCAGGGCCGUGCUCUUUCCAUUAAGCACUGUUUUCCCUCAAUCAGUGGUAUUUAUUGAGUGUUUACACUCAAUUCAGAACAUUUAUUGCAGAAUACUGUAUUAAGUGCUUGGGAGUAGACAGUAGAAUUGGCAGACACUGCCCUCGAGGAGCUUGGUACCAUAACUAUCUCCAGAGUCUCUGAACUGGAAGCCUGCAAUUUUACUUCAAUCUAUCAGUGGCAUUUAUCCCAGCUCUGCCACCUGUCAGCUUUGUGACUGUGGGCAAGUCACUUAACUUCUCUGUGCCUCUGUUACCUCGUCUGUAAAACGGGGAUUAAGACUGUGAGCCCCACGUGGGACAACCCGAUUCCCCUGUAUCUACCCCGGCGCUUAGAACAGUGCUCUGCACAUAGUAAGCGCUAAACAAAUAUCCACGUUAUCAUUAUUAUUUAUUGCACAUACUGUCUGCAGAGCACUCUACUAAGUGCUUGGGAGAGUACAGUCCUACAGAGUUGGUAGACACAACUCUUGCCCACCUUCAGGGAGCUUGCAGUCUACUUUUGCUUCAUUCUUUCAAUUGUAUUGAGCAGUUACGGUGUGCAAAGCACUGUACUAAGCACUCGGGAGAGUACAACAGCCAAAGGACACCUUCUCUGCCCAAAAUGAGCUCACGGUCUAGAGGGAGAGACAGACUUAAUAUACAUAUAUAAAUAAAUGAAUUACAGGUAAAUGGUAUACCUUUGUGCUGUGGGGAUGGAAGGGAGGAUGAAUGAAGGGAACAAAAUC